CGCUGGCGGCGUGCCUAAUAAUGCAGUCGAGCGCAGGAAUCGACGGAACCCUUCGGGGGGAAGUCGAYGGAAUGAGCGGCGGACGGGUGAGUAACACGUAAAGAACCUGCCCUCAGGUCUGGGAUAACCACGAGAWAUCGGGGCUAAUACCGGAUGGGUCAUCGGACCGCAWGGUCCGAGGAUGAAAGGCGCUUCGGCGUCGCCUGGGGAUGGCUWUGCGGUGCAUUAGCUAGUUGGUGGGGUAAUGGCCCACCAAGGCGACGAUGCAUAGCCGACCUGAGAGGGUGAUCGGCCACACUGGGACUGAGACACGGCCCAGACUCCUACGGGAGGCAGCAGUAGGGAAUCUUCCACAAUGGACGAAAGUCUGAUGGAGCAACGCCGCGUGAACGAUGAAGGCCUUCGGGUCGUAAAGUUCUGUUGUAAGGGAAGAACAAGUGCCGCAGGCAAUGGCGGCACCUUGACGGUACCUUGCGAGAAAGCCACGGCUAACUACGUGCCAGCAGCCGCGGUAAUACGUAGGUGGCAAGCGUUGUCCGGAAUUAUUGGGCGUAAAGCGCGCGCAGGCGGCCUCUUAAGUCUGAUGUGAAAGCCCCCGGCUCAACCGGGGAGGGCCAUUGGAAACUGGGAGGCUUGAGUAUAGGAGAGAAGAGUGGAAUUCCACGUGUAGCGSUGAAMUGCGUAGAGAUGUGGAGGAACACCAGUGGCGAAGGCGACUCUUGGCCUAUAACUGACGCUGAG
This 741-nucleotide ribosomal RNA is filed under the name Exiguobacterium aurantiacum. Its description in RNAcentral is "bacterial SSU rRNA". The record is from RNAcentral. Lineage: Bacteria; Bacillati; Bacillota; Bacilli; Caryophanales.